Molecule: long non-coding RNA, 2054 nt
Organism: Rosa rugosa (rugosa rose)
Lineage: Eukaryota; Viridiplantae; Streptophyta; Magnoliopsida; Rosales; Rosaceae
Exons: 11
Source: RefSeq, a predicted model, not a curated record
CCUCCAGAAGCCUCUAAGACCGACUGUUCUUCCUCCUGCUUUCUAAACAGCCCCCUUCACUCCCUCAGACGACUACAGCGUGCCGUGCUUGGAUGGUUCAUGUAUAAUUACACCGACAUCGACUCUUCCAGACUCUCAAAGUCAGCUACUUCGGAAAUCAGAUCCCACCAUCGAGUCUACUAUAUGGGUCAGCUACUUGCGAAAUCAAAUCGAGACUGCAGAUUUGGGCAAAUCUGGGAGUCUUAAUCAGUUGUUUGCGAAUCUUGGAGCAGAACACUGCAGUAGUGUCUACAACAUUUGAAUGGGUAGGAUAACUUUGAGAAAGUUCAAAGCCUAUUGAAAAGUUAUUUUUGUAAAACUGGGACCAGAGUAACCAUAUACAACAAUGGAUGUUGCUGACAUAUAAACGAAAAGUUUGAGUAUUGUAGCGCAAAGCGUUGUUAACUUUUAGACUAUGGAUUUGGGCAAAUCUGGGCGUGUUAGUCAAUUUGUGUUUGCAAAUCUUGGACCACCACAGUGUAAUACCGUCUACAGCAAUCAAACAAGAAGAGGCGUGUGGUUCUUCUUCCGGAAACUCCAAGCUACUUCCAAAGAAUCAGCUUCUUUUUGAGUUGGAGCUUGAAGGCUGCAUAUAUUCGAGAAGUUGGAAUGACGUUCGGAGACUCAAGGAUUCUGCUCUGAGGGGUGUUUGAAAAGCCAGAUAAGACAUCAGCAACGUUCCUGUCAUUUAUAGAAAAUUUUGGCAAGAGGGUGGAGUUGGAUAGCACCAUUAAAUAUGAUGAUGCUUAAGUACCAUGCAGCUCUCUCUAUGAUAGCUUCUAAAACAUCCUAUGAGAAUAAUGCCAAUGCCUACAUUAACACUACUGUUAGGGAUCAUUGGAAGACUGAAAAAAAAAACCCACUACACAAGCCUUUAUGCUUCAGAAUAAGUGUUCUGACCAUGACACCGUUGUUGUGGCCUUUAAGGGAACCGAAUCGCUUGAUGCAGAUGCUAUGCUCCGACUUUGUAUCUCUUGGUAUGAGCUUUCAGGGUGGAAGCGUCACAAGAUUGACGAAGACUGAGGCUUUGCUGCACAAGUUGUUCAUUGACACAAGACCAGCAAAACCAACAAAGGAAGAAAAGAAUUCAACCUUCAAACUUUCAAUCAUGUUUCCCUUUGUGAGUUUCCUCUCUAAACUAUUCUGUUUCUAUGACUAAUAAAAAUUAACCUCUUAUAUAAUAAUGCCAUUAUUACUAAUUCCUGAAAUAUUUUGCGGGAUUCGCACACAACUCCAUUCACUGCAAACAAAAAAGUAUCUCAUGCUUGAUCUUAAUGAAGCUUAGAAAAAGCAUAUAUAGGUGGGAAAGGUCCAAUACUGAUGGUUGGAGAUAGAAUGCUCUUUUGAUCCUCCCAGAUAUUCAUUUCAUAAGGUGUUGGUGUGUCAUGCUUUGCUGAGCAUUUGAUACCUAAUCAGCAACACACCAAACGAACAAUAUGACCAGCCAACAAAUAUCACAGUAAAGAAAAAGAAAAAAAUGAAAACCAAAAGAAGAACACACCCAACCAAUCCUAAACCCUAUACUGUCCCUUCCUUGAGUCAAAAAAUGGGACAGUGCCUUAGUUGUAUCUAAGCAGAUCAGUCUACCGUUGCAAUCAGAAAACUUUUGGAAAGUUUGAUGAUGUGCUUGAAUCUGGUUGUCAUUGUUUGCCUUGCUGUUGCCAUGGUGCAGUAGCUGCUCAUGUCUUUCUACAACUGUAGCAAUUAGAUGUUCGCUGUGAAACAAUUGGAAGAAUGCAUAUACUCGAGAAAUUCGAAAGACCAAAUACACAGAUUUGGAAGCUUUACGAGAUUGUUUGAUUUGAAGUUAUUGAUUCUGGUGAGAAAUUUGUGUGACAUGUUCUGAUCAUGCAGUAAAGAAUUCAGGUGUAAAUUUGUAACAUGUUCAAAGUUCAAACCAAACCAAAUCUGUAAAUUUCAGCAGAAACAUUCUGCUAUGUAAUGUUAUCCCAAUAACAUGUAAUAGUACUUCAAAUGCAGUUCAUCUAUAUAGUUCGAGAGUACACUAACCUCAA